AUCUGUUAAGACACUGAACAUAUGCAAGACAUGCCUUAGCCUCACCUUUAAGUCACAUGUGUGAGCAGAACCUUGACAGUCACAGCACAUUCUUACAUCACCUCCAUUUAUUAGGCCACAUUCUGCUAAGCUAGGUUGUCACCACAUUUACCACAAUCACAUCCGAUCUGUCUGUUUACACGAAUCAAGGAAUUGGGCGACUAUGUUUUAGUGAGUACACAUUAAAGCAACUGCAAGACCCGGAAGCACUGAACAGUUCUUUCAACAUGGUGCUGUUCAGCAUGCUAAUCAGCCUCCGUGAAUCCACUGGCUCCGUCAGUCAAUAAGCUGUCCACGGACCUCGGCCCAAGCGAAAAGCCUUAGGGGCAAACAACUCACAUCCCCAGAUCUCAUGAAACCUCAGCGAUCCUUCUCAGAAGUGCAGGCAGAAAAAAAUGCUGAAAUUAUAAACUACCCUGCAGUACAGAGAUCGUGACCAUACGUUAUUUCUUCAGAAGCUGUUAUCCUGACCUUUCAGAGUCUGAUAUAAUUCCUCCCUUCCAGAUCCUACCACAACUAUGGGUUUGAACAAUUUGAAUAAAAUGCCCCAUGAGCACUGA
Molecule: long non-coding RNA, 599 nt
Organism: Numida meleagris (helmeted guineafowl)
Lineage: Eukaryota; Metazoa; Chordata; Aves; Galliformes; Numididae
Exons: 3
Source: RefSeq, a predicted model, not a curated record